RNAcentral lists this ribosomal RNA (1044 nucleotides) under Nocardiopsis sp. OAct652. RNAcentral describes it as "bacterial SSU rRNA". It matches the Rfam family "Bacterial small subunit ribosomal RNA", at positions 28 to 1081 of the family's 1533-position model. The record is from RNAcentral. Lineage: Bacteria; Bacillati; Actinomycetota; Actinomycetes; Streptosporangiales; Nocardiopsidaceae.
GACGAACGCUGGCGGCGUGCUUAACACAUGCAAGUCGAGCGGUAAGGCCCUUCGGGGUACACGAGCGGCGAACGGGUGAGUAACACGUGAGCAACCUGCCCCCGACUCCGGGAUAAGCGGUGGAAACGCCGUCUAAUACCGGAUACGACCGGCCACCUCAUGGUAGCCGGUGGAAAGUUUUUCGGUUGGGGAUGGGCUCGCGGCCUAUCAGCUUGUUGGUGGGGUAAAGGCCUACCAAGGCGAUUACGGGUAGCCGGCCUGAGAGGGCGACCGGCCACACUGGGACUGAGACACGGCCCAGACUCCUGCGGGAGGCAGCAGUGGGGAAUAUUGCGCAAUGGGCGAAAGCCUGACGCAGCGACGCCGCGUGGGGGAUGACGGCCUUCGGGUUGUAAACCUCUUUUACCACCAACGCAGGCUCCCAGUUCUCUGGGGGUUGACGGUAGGUGGGGAAUAAGGACCGGCUAACUACGUGCCAGCAGCCGCGGUAAUACGUAGGGUCCGAGCGUUGUCCGGAAUUAUUGGGCGUAAAGAGCUCGUAGGCGGCGUGUCGCGUCUGCUGUGAAAGACCGGGGCUUAACUCCGGUUCUGCAGUGGAUACGGGCAUGCUAGAGGUAGGUAGGGGAGACUGGAAUUCCUGGUGUAGCGGUGAAAUGCGCAGAUAUCAGAGGAACACCGGUGGCGAAGGCGGGUCUCUGGGCCUUACCUGACGCUGAGGAGCGAAAGCAUGGGGAGCGAACAGGAUUAGAUACCCUGGUAGUCCAUGCCGUAAACGUUGGGCGCUAGGUGUGGGGACUUUCCACGGUUUCCGCGCCGUAGCUAACGCAUUAAGCGCCCCGCCUGGGGAGUACGGCCGCAAGGCUAAAACUCAAAGGAAUUGACGGGGGCCCGCACAAGCGGCUGAGCAUGUUGCUUAAUUCGACGCAACGCGAAAACCUUACCAAAGUUUGACAUCACCCGUGACUGCAAAAAUGUGGGGUCAUUUAUGGUGGGGUGACAAGUGGUGCAUGGCUGUCGUCACUCGGUGUCUGGAAAUGUUGGGGU